Molecule: ribosomal RNA, 859 nt
Filed under: Pezizaceae sp. MES327
Lineage: Eukaryota; Fungi; Ascomycota; Pezizomycetes; Pezizales; Pezizaceae
Description: eukaryotic LSU rRNA
Rfam family: Eukaryotic large subunit ribosomal RNA
Source: RNAcentral
AGGUAGGGAUACCCGCUGAACUUAAGCAUAUCAAUAAGCGGAGGAAAAGAAACCAACAGGGAUUGCCCUAGUAACGGCGAGUGAAGCGGCAAAAGCUCAGAUUUGGAAUCUGGCGUCAUUGUGGCGUCCGAGUUGUAGUCUGAAGAGGGGAAUUCAAGUGUAGCUUUGGCUUAAGUUCCUUGGAACAGGACGUCAUAGAGGGUGAGAACCCCGUUAAUGGCCUUUGUCUUAUGCUUAUGUGAAUCUCCUUCAAUGAGUCGAGUUGUUUGGGAAUGCAGCUCUAAAUGGGUGGUAAAUUCCAUCUAAAGCUAAAUACUGGCAAGAGACCGAUAGCGCACAAGUAGAGUGAUCGAAAGAUGAAAAGAACUCUGAACAGAGAGUUAAAUAGUACGUGAAAUUGUUGAAAGGGAAGCACUUGUAACCAGACACGCUUGCAGCUGAUCAAUUCUGAUUUUUGAGGAUGCACUCAGUUGUUAGCGAGCCAACAUCAGUCAUGGUGACAGGAAAAAGACCAAGGAAAGGUAGCUCCUUUCGGGGAGUGUUAUAGUCCUGGGUGUAAUGCUGCCUACUAUGAUUGAGGACCGCGCUUUGGCGAGGAUGUUGGCAUAAUGGUUUUAAGUGACCCGUCUUGAAACACGGACCAAGGAGUCUAACAUCUAUGCGAGUGUUUGGGUGUUGAAACCCUUUCGCGAAAUGAAAGUGAAUGGAGGUGGGAACCGCAAGGUGCACCAUCGACCGAUCCUGAUGUUUUCGGAUGGAUUUGAGUAAGAGCAUAGCUGUUGGGACCCGAAAGAUGGUGAACUAUGCCUGGAUAGGGUGAAGCCAGAGGAAACUCUGGUGGAGGCUCGCAGCGGUUCUG